Rattus norvegicus (Norway rat) is the source of this 69-nucleotide non-coding RNA. Lineage: Eukaryota; Metazoa; Chordata; Mammalia; Rodentia; Muridae. The record is from Rfam.
GGGGAUUUAGCUCAGUGGUAGAGCGCUUACCUAGGAAGCGCAAGGCCCUGGGUUCGAUCCCCAGCUCCG